RNAcentral lists this ribosomal RNA (486 nucleotides) under uncultured Fusobacterium sp. RNAcentral's name for it is "bacterial SSU rRNA". It matches the Rfam family "Bacterial small subunit ribosomal RNA", at positions 8 to 507 of the family's 1533-position model. Lineage: Bacteria; Fusobacteriati; Fusobacteriota; Fusobacteriia; Fusobacteriales; Fusobacteriaceae. The record is from RNAcentral.
AGAGUUUGAUCCUGGCUCAGGAUGAACGCUGACAGAAUGCUUAACACAUGCAAGUCUACUUGAAUUGGGUUUUUAACUUAGGUUUGGGUGGCGGACGGGUGAGUAACGCGUAAAGAACUUGCCUCACAGCUAGGGACAACAUUUAGAAAUGAAUGCUAAUACCUAAUAUUAUGAUAAUAGGGCAUCCUAUAAUUAUGAAAGCUAUAUGCGCUGUGAGAGAGCUUUGCGUCCCAUUAGCUAGUUGGAGAGGUAACGGCUCACCAAGGCGAUGAUGGGUAGCCGGCCUGAGAGGGUGAUCGGCCACAAGGGGACUGAGACACGGCCCUUACUCCUACGGGAGGCAGCAGUGGGGAAUAUUGGACAAUGGACCGAGAGUCUGAUCCAGCAAUUCUGUGUGCACGAUGAAGUUUUUCGGAAUGUAAAGUGCUUUCAGUUGGGAAGAAAGAAAUGACGGUACCAACAGAAGAAGUGACGGCUAAAUACGUG